CAAUAGGAGUCUGCUUCCAACCGUCUCUUGACCGAGACUAGCGACUUGUGCGCUAACUUUUGACUUGACCUCAAAUCAGGUAGGACUACCCGCUGAACUUAAGCAUAUCAAUAAGCGGAGGAAAAGAAACUAACAAGGAUUCCCCUAGUAACUGCGAGUGAAGCGGGAAAAGCUCAAAUUUAAAAUCUGGCGGUCUCCGGCCGUCCGAGUUGUAAUUUAGAGAAGCGUUAUCCGUGCUGGACCGUGUAUAAGUCUCCUGGAAUGGAGCGUCAUAGAGGGUGAGAAUCCCGUCUUUGACACGGACUACCAGUGCAUUGUGAUGCGCUCUCGACGAGUCGAGUUGUUUGGGAAUGCAGCUCAAAAUGGGUGGUAAAUGCCAUCUAAAGCUAAAUAUUGGCGAGAGACCGAUAGCGAACAAGUACCGUGAGGGAAAGAUGAAAAGAACUUUGGAAAGAGAGUUAAACAGUACGUGAAAUUGUCGAAAGGGAAACGGUUGCAGUCAGUCGCGUCCGCCGGGGAUCAACCUUGCUUUUGCUUGGCGUAUUUCCCGGUGGAUGGGUCAGCAUCAGUUUUGACCGCAGUUGAAAGGCUGGAGGAAUGUGGCACCUUCGGGUGUGUUAUAGCCUCCUGUCAUAUGCUGCGGUUGGGACUGAGGAACUCAGCACGCCGCAAGGCCGGGAUUCGUCCACGUUCGUGCUUAGGAUGCUGGCAUAAUGUCUGUAACCGACCCGUCUUGAAACACGGACCAAGGAGUCUAACAUGCACGCGAGUGUUUGGGUGGCAAACCCGAGCGCGUAAUGAAAGUGAAAGUUGAGACCUCUGUCGUGGAGGGCAUCGA
This 838-nucleotide ribosomal RNA is filed under the name Schizophyllum commune. Its description in RNAcentral is "eukaryotic LSU rRNA". It matches the Rfam family "Eukaryotic large subunit ribosomal RNA", at positions 1 to 761 of the family's 3401-position model. The record is from RNAcentral. Lineage: Eukaryota; Fungi; Basidiomycota; Agaricomycetes; Agaricales; Schizophyllaceae.